Molecule: ribosomal RNA, 253 nt
Filed under: uncultured bacterium
Lineage: Bacteria
Description: partial 16S ribosomal RNA
Rfam family: Bacterial small subunit ribosomal RNA
Source: RNAcentral
CACGUAGGCACCAAGCGUUGUCCGGAAUUAUUGGGCGUAAAGAGCUCGUAGGCGGUUUGUCGCGUCGGGAGUGAAAACACGGGGCUUAACCCCGUGCCUGCUUCCGAUACGGGCAGACUAGAGGUAUGCAGGGGAGAACGGAAUUCCUGGUGUAGCGGUGAAAUGCGCAGAUAUCAGGAGGAACACCGGUGGCGAAGGCGGUUCUCUGGGCAUUACCUGACGCUGAGGAGCGAAAGUGUGGGGAGCGAACAGG